UCCCGGUUAACCCGGGCAGUCUGACUAGAGUUCCCACCAUUACGUGUUGGCAACUAGUCAUAAGGGUUGCGCUCGUUGCGGGACUUAACCCAACACCUCACGGCACGAGCUGACGACAGCCAUGCAGCACCUGUGCAGAGGCCCCGAAAGGCACUACCAUCUCUGAUAGCUUCCUCUGCAUGUCAAGCCUGGGUAAGGUUCUUCGCGUUGCAUCGAAUUAAACCACAUGCUCCACUGCUUGUGCGGGUCCCCGUCAAUUCUUUUGAGUUUCACCCUUGCGAGCGUACUCCCCAGGCGGUAUACUUAACGCGUUUGCUACGGCACAACUAGGGUUGAGUCCAGUUACACCAAGUAUACAUCGUUUACGGCAAGGACUAC
This 378-nucleotide unclassified non-coding RNA is filed under the name uncultured Chlamydiales bacterium. RNAcentral describes it as "contains 16S-23S intergenic spacer region". Lineage: Bacteria; Pseudomonadati; Chlamydiota; Chlamydiia; Chlamydiales. The record is from RNAcentral.